GCACUGAAACGUACAUUUGAAGGAGGAUUUAGCAGUAAGCAGGAAAUAGAGCGUCCCGCUGAAACUGGCCCUGAAGCGCGCACACACCGCCCGUCACUCUCCCCAAAAACACCAGUCAAUUAACUAAAACCUAAUAAUUAAAGAGGGGAGGCAAGUCGUAACAUGGUAAGUGUACCGGAAGGUGCACUUGGAAAAAUC
Molecule: ribosomal RNA, 198 nt
Filed under: Eurymen gyrinus
Lineage: Eukaryota; Metazoa; Chordata; Actinopteri; Perciformes; Psychrolutidae
Description: partial 12S ribosomal RNA
Rfam family: Bacterial small subunit ribosomal RNA
Source: RNAcentral